This 1662-nucleotide long non-coding RNA is filed under the name Thrips palmi. RNAcentral's name for it is "uncharacterized LOC117640243". The record is from RNAcentral. Lineage: Eukaryota; Metazoa; Arthropoda; Insecta; Thysanoptera; Thripidae.
GUUUAUGUGAGUACCUUAGUACCUUCAUUAUCCCAAGGCCUCAUCAUUGGGAUGGAGUCAGGCCAAUUGGUUUUUAUCAAGAAUUAAGCUUUAAAAAAGUGUUCUAAUGGAGCAGUGUGAAUGGUUUCAUUUUUCCUCAAGGUUUUCUUUACUCUACGAGUAAUUAUUGUAAUGCGGAUCAGUUGGCUGCUUGAUAAAAAAAUUUCCUUCAAGAUGCUUGAAUCAUGAGAAAGGGCGCCCUUUCUCAUGCUUGAAUACUGUGUUUCAAUGAAAGAGUCCUUGCAAGUGUGCUUCUUAUACAACCAUACUGGCAGUCAAAAGUAUAUUGUGACAUCAGUUCACACGUUUCAAUUAGCUGUAUCGUUUUCUGUCUUCCUCCCCUUUGUUUUAAUGUGAAGUAUAUUUGUACCCUUAUUCCUGGUGGAAGAGUAUAAAAUUCUGCAUGCUCUUUCACGAAUCCACAGUCUAGCCUUGCAGUGAUCUGCUCACUAGAAGAGAUACCUUUGUGGGUAGUGUUGGUGUGGGCUACCAAGUUAUUUAAUUGGCUGCUCACUGGCUAGCCUGACCACAUCGUGCCUAUCCUGGAGGUGUGACUGCUCAGCAUAUGUCAUUGGCUUAUUUUUCUUGUGGUUACCAGUAUUCUCCACUUUUAAUUCUAGUAAUAAAAUCUGCAUAUGCAUCAUGACCAGCACUUGAGAUGAAUGGGAUUCUAUCAUCUGCAUAUGCAUCAUGACCAGCACUUAGAGAUGAAUGGGAUUCAAUCAACUUUUUGGAAACCUACAAGUCUUAAUGCUGGUACAUUGAAAUUAUCUUUUGUAACAAUUCAAUGGUACAAUUCAGUUCUUAAUUUCAGAAAAUCAAUCAAAUAACCCAGCAGCCAGGAUAUUAUUAUCUACCCGCACAUCUGUAAGGGAGGAACAGUUGCCUUUUGCUCAAUUACUCAACCGUCACAAUGGAGAUAUCGGGAUUUUUCCUUAAUUUGGGCAAUAUAUUAUUUUGUGCCGUCAAUCAGACUUUCAGCCAUGGAACAGAAAGAGAUCUUCAGAAAGUCAUUAGCUCUUCAAUUUGAUUAGUAUUUUAUUCAUAAACUUUGCUCACAACAGAAAACCCCACCCUGUGAGCGGAUUCAUCUUACACCAUGGUUUUCUUUACCCUUUAAACUUGCAAUGAUUGCCUUGGCCUCAAUCACCCAGUAAAGGCUGAUCAAUGGGCUGCCUGAUUAAAUUUGUUUUCUUCAUCAAGACGGUUCGAUGUGGAUUAUCGUAGUGCCCUUAUGUCUGGUGGAAGAGUAUGCUGCAUGCUCUUUCAUGAAUCCACCGUCAAGCCUUGCUGUGAUCUGCUCACUAGAAGAGAUUCCUCUGUGGGUAGUGCUGGCGUGGGCUACCAAGUUCUUUAAUUGGCUAUAUAGAAGGCUGCUCACUGGCUAUCCUGACCACAUCGUGCCUGUCCUGGAGGUUUCUUUUACUUGUAUUCCAAUAUUCAGAUGUUUUAAUGCAAGAAAGGUAAUCUGUAUGUAAGUGAGAGCACAUUUUCGAAUGUUGGUGUCAUUGUGAUCAUUUCAUUAUUAAUGCAUGAGCUGAGAGUACUUCCCUAUUCAAGUGUACUAUUUGGAGAUUGGGCAGUUUUUUGAUGGUUGCCAUUUUCCACAGCUUCCAAACUAUU